This 124-nucleotide small RNA is filed under the name Marmota monax (woodchuck). Lineage: Eukaryota; Metazoa; Chordata; Mammalia; Rodentia; Sciuridae. The record is from RNAcentral.
GCUGGGUGCAGUGGCGCAUGCCUGUAAUCCCAGUGGCUGGGGGGCUGGAGCAGGAGGAUCAUAAGUUCGAAGCCAGCCUUGGCAAUGGCAAGACGCUAAGCAACUCAGGGAGACCCUGUCUCUA